UGACCUAAAGAGCAUGCACAGAGGCUCCUGAAUUUUACAAUUUUCCAAGUUAUUGAAUGAAUUAAUGCUCCUGUUUGACACCAGUCAUUAAGGAACCAGAUUUCUGUUUUCGGCACAAAUGAGACUAGCAUUUCGACUCUGUUUAAAGAUGGAGAUGCAAGUAUUUAGAGCAUUUACUAUCCUUAUUAUAUUUUCUUCUCUUCAUUAGGGUUAUUUUGAUGUGAAUUUGACUACCAUUUCCACCUGUAGGGUCGACGGCAAGCCAUUAUAUCUAUCCCAAUUGAAUGAAAUCUGUUUAAGAUAUUCGAUGGACUAUAACUGGUCACUGGUCAGCAUAUUGUGGCAGCAUCCAUAACUCCUGUUUGCACAAGCUACAGUAUUUUGUAAUGAGGAGAAGUCGAACACCUUAUAGCAUUGAGUUUGAAUGAAGUUACCUGCCAUGCGGGAAGUAGUUGAUAAGGAGCCUUGUGCAUUCAUAAUCUUAUGUUGAAUGUUUUUUUCGUACUUUCAAGGAAUACUGGAUUCAAAUCCAUGCUUCACCACUGCAGCAUGUAUCUGCUUUCCAUAAACAUGUGAGCCAAUUGAGGCACAAGCUCU
Olea europaea var. sylvestris is the source of this 597-nucleotide long non-coding RNA. RefSeq lists it as uncharacterized. The transcript is spliced from 3 exons. The record is from RefSeq and is a predicted model, not a curated record. NCBI's taxonomy places the organism in Eukaryota, Viridiplantae, Streptophyta, Magnoliopsida, Lamiales, Oleaceae.